This 1065-nucleotide long non-coding RNA is filed under the name Canis lupus familiaris (dog). RNAcentral describes it as "lncRNA (ENSCAFG00000051211.1)". Lineage: Eukaryota; Metazoa; Chordata; Mammalia; Carnivora; Canidae. The record is from RNAcentral.
AUGCAGAAGCAGCUCAGUCUUCACGCCAGCCACAGUCUGCCUAGAAAAGCAGGCCGCCCCAGCAGCCCUCCCCAAGUUGUGGGCAGGGUGCAGAGGUCAAGCUUCCAGGGGAGGCCGAGAGGUGGUCUGAGAAAGAAGCGAGGGCAAGGCCGGGAGGCGGGGUGCGAAAAAGGCUUGCACCCUCGCUCAGCCCUGGUCCCGCGAGGCCCCAAACCUCCGCUCGGGUCCCGCGCCGGGCCGCUCGACCCCCCGGCCGCGGCGCCCGAGCCCGGCCUCCCCGCCGCCGCCCGGGCCGCGGCUCGGACUCCAUUCCUCCGCCCCCGCUCACCUCCCGACUGCAGCAGUCGCCGCCGCUGGGCCGUGGCUCCGAGGGCGGGUUCCGGGCUCCUCCGAGCCGGGGGCUCGCGCCAGGCCGGCCGGGUCCCGGGCGGUGCGGGAGGGGUGGGGAAUCCCGGGGGAUCCCGGGAGGGGAGGGGAGGGGUCCCGGGCCGGGGGCCGGGGGUGGGGUCGGGCACCGGAGCUUUCAGUUUGUUCCGCUGUUUGAAAUUGGCGCCGGCGGAGCGUUGCGGUCACGUGACGGAGCGUCGCCAAUCGGCGGCCGCCCUUGUCUCCGCGUUCCGGGCCCAGGACGCGGCGGCCCGGGGGAGCGGCGGCCGCGACGGCGCCGGGCGGGUAAGGCGGGCCUGCGGCCGGCUCGUGGGGAGGGGCAGCGGGCCGCCGGGGCCGCCCUCGGGGCGCGGCGGGCGGGGGCGGGGGGCAGCCCGGGCGGCGGCGGCGGCGGGGGGCGGCGGGGGCGGGCGGCGGGCGGCGGGCGGCGGCGCUGCCCUGCCGGGCGCCUCGGCCUGCGCCCCCUCGCGCGUGGCGGCCGCUUCCCGGAGCCCGCCCCGCCCCGCCCCGCCCCCGGCGCCGCGCCCCCCGCCCCCCGCCUCCCGCCCCUUUCAGCGUCCCGGGCCCGGCUUCCCUGCGGGGGGGGGCGGGGGGCGCUCCUCCCUCACCUCCGCUAACGAUCCGCUGGCCGCGGCCGCCCGAACGCCCCUCGGCUCGUCUGAGCUAACUCCCGCUUAA